Long non-coding RNA from Synchiropus splendidus (mandarinfish), 757 nucleotides. RefSeq lists it as uncharacterized. Lineage: Eukaryota; Metazoa; Chordata; Actinopteri; Syngnathiformes; Callionymidae. The record is from RefSeq and is a predicted model, not a curated record. The transcript is spliced from 3 exons.
AAGAGCUCAGGUUUAGUUCUCUGUUCUUGUGUCUUUCUGUAGCUGAGGAGUCCGCCUACAUUCAAAAUAAGACUCAGACAUUCAACUCAGACUGACGGUGAUGGACAGAGGCGUGCUGCACCUCUCGCGCCCAGCGACGCCCCCAGGUGACCCGGAUGAGCGGGAGUCAAUGAAAAGCUACAUUAGCAUUAGCUGUAGCACAACCUCAGUAUAAAGUUUGAACAUCUCUGUCGCGUGAGUAGCGCUCAUAUUCAUAUCCAGGAUCAUUGAAACUCAUUGUGUUGCAAGUCUGAAGUAGUUUAAUGUCGAAUGAAAGCUUUAAAUACGUGCAUACGUGUCUGCUGUGAGUGUUUACGCCGUGAAGUGGAUGGCAACACACAGCACUUCAACUCCAGGAGCCAGCACUCUGUCAGCGAACCAUCUCUUGGCUCAGAAUAGAUCCCACGACCCUCCUCUGCACUCUGUCGACAUGGUUCUGCAGAGACUCGUCGGGGCAGCCACUGAAGUGAAGAGGCCCAGACCAGAUGUCCAGGGCUCUCUGCAGCCUGACGGGGAUCUACCCCAGGGCCUCCAGCAAUAGAGGCUAUGAGCACUCCCCACCGCACCCCGCCCCACCGACUUCCCCGCUCAACACCUUCAAGGGAAUUCCAGGAAAGCUUGCCAAACCCAAGCGGCGUGGAGUGUGACGGUGUGUGUGGCUCAUUUGUGAAUCCGUCUGGAAACUACACUGAGAGGAGAAUUCAACUCGAAUCUCUAC